UACAGAGGGGGCAAGCGUUAUUCGGAAUUAUUGGGCGUAAAGGGCGCGUAGGCGGCUUUGCAAGUGACGGGUGAAAUCCCUCGGCUUAACCGAGGAACUGCCUGUCAGACUGCAUGGCUUGAGACCGGGAGAGGUGAGUGGAAUUCCCAGUGUAGCGGUGAAAUGCGUAGAUAUUGGGGAGGAACACCAGUGGCGAAGGCGGCUCACUGGACCGGUACUGACGCUGAGGCGCGAAAGCGUGGGGAGCGAACAGG
This 254-nucleotide ribosomal RNA is filed under the name uncultured bacterium. RNAcentral describes it as "partial 16S ribosomal RNA". It matches the Rfam family "Bacterial small subunit ribosomal RNA", at positions 524 to 776 of the family's 1533-position model. The record is from RNAcentral.